Molecule: small nuclear RNA, 102 nt
Organism: Sorex fumeus (smoky shrew)
Lineage: Eukaryota; Metazoa; Chordata; Mammalia; Eulipotyphla; Soricidae
Source: RefSeq, a predicted model, not a curated record
GUGCUUUAGCAGUACAAAUACUAAUAUGGCACAAUCCAGAGAAGAUAAGCAUGGCCCCUCCACAGGGAUAACACACAAAUUCAUGAAAUAUUCCAUAUUCAU